GAAAUCUAAUCACAUUUUCUGCCUCAAGGGACUGAGCAGCUCCCAAUAAGAUUUUCCUGAGUGUGUCUCUGCAGCAGUUGGUGGGAGUGACACGACUGGUGAGACUGAGACAGCCUGGGGCUCAGAGCAGAUGGUAGUCUGAAAGGGACAGAAUGAGAGAGGGAGCUGGAGAAAGAAAUGAAUAAACACGAAUGCAUCUGGAGAAUGAGGCAUCUUGGAAUCUGGAAAGUGAGGCAUCCUGGAAGAGAGAUGAAGCAGAUGCUACCUGAUUUGUGCUCCAGCUAAUGUCACUCACGUCAGGAGUGUUGCCAAAUGCAAUGAGGUGCGACUGACACCAGGGAAGAUGAUGAGCAAAGAGAAUGGCAGCUGGCUGUGUUUCCUUCUUAUAGCAUUUUAAUGAAUCAAGGAGCAUCCUGAUAGAGUACAUCUGGACAUGCUAGAAGCCAGACUCUAAGAUCCGAGAACCCUAAGGCGGCUCCAUCUUCAUGACAGGGAGGAUGGGUCCUGAAUAGAGGGAUGAGGCCUGAGAAAUAUAAAAGGCAGUUGCAGUGCUAUAGAAAGAACUAUACAUUAGUGGUUAGAAAACCUGAGUUCUCUCUCACUCUGUGUUACUCAUUAGUUUUUUGACUUAGGCAAAAUGUUUGUCUUACUCGAGACUCUUUUAACAAUAAAAACACACUAGAGUUACCAACAGGGUCCCAAAGGCAGUGGAUAGGGGAUCUAGAAAGCUACUACAAGGGGCCCAUUCCUCUUUCAUUAUUGCUUCCCUUUCUUCUCUCUCUCUGACAAUCAGCUUUUUUUCCUUUACCUCCCAGUCUGCCUGGUGGAAGACAAGAUAAUCCAAGUUUUCAUGGUAUAGGUCCAGCCACAAGGAAAGACUGAUUCCUGAUUCUCAUUUCCAUGUUUAAUUCCUAGCUGAAGGUAUGAUAGGCCUAGCUAAUUCCCCCUCACCAAAAAGUAUGAACAGAGUGUGUAUGAAUUUUAGACAUCAUGCCUGAGGCCCACUCCUUUGGCCCAAUAGAUGGUGGAUCAGUUCUCAUUUCAAGGGGACUGUUUGUCAGCUGAGAUGUUUCCAAAGGUAUUCAUUUGCUUGUGUAACUUUAUUUCCUCAAAAGUAAAAUCUGACCUCCCUUCCCUUGUGUGGUUAUAAGUCUUAAAGGAGACCAUGUACAAGAAAAAAAAUUGUGAAAUUCAAAGGGCUUUAUAUAUAUCAGGCACUAGCUGUAAACUGAAGUCACCCUGUGAAUCAGAUGUAGAGUUACCAUAUUUAGGCUCACACCCUCUAAAUCCCCAAGGUGUAGUCCUCUUUCCAUGGACAGUUGGAAGGUCAAUGUCAUUGAAAGAAAAAAGGUAAAGCUUACCUAAUGUGAAUAUUGUGGGCUUAGAGUUCACCAGCAGGCAAGAACUCUCUCCAGGGUUGUAAUUAAUUACCUUAUUUGCAUUAUGUAAAUGCUACCUUUUAAAAUUUCAUAAUUGUUAUUAAACUCAGUUAUUUCUCUAAGCUCUGAGCUACUUAAUUACUAGAACUGUAAACAGAACAUAAGGGCUGCAGAAUGCAUGAAUAUUUAGUGAUACCAACAGAUUUUGUUCAUGACCUGCCACGAUUAUUAAUAUUACUUUUAAUUUUAACAGAGCAGGUUGUCAACAUGGGUACUAAACAUGAAGCAAAGGCAACUCCUUUAUCCAGAACUUAAUUCACUACGAAUGCCACUCCAAAAGGAAAGGAUGUCCAAUCUGACAAGGGAUUAAUCACCAUAAUAUAUAAGGAGCCCAGACAAUUAUAGUGGAAAAAAUCUAAUAAUCUGAUUUUAAAAUGGGAAAAAGAUCUGAAUAGACAUUUCUCAAAAGAAGACAUACAAAUGGCCAACAGGUAUACAAAAAGGUGCCCAACAUCGUUGAUAUCAUCAGAGAAAUGUGAAUCAAAAGUACAAUGAGACAUCGCCUCAUCCCAGUUAAAAUGGCUUUUAUCCAAAAGACAGGCAAUAACAAAUGCUGGUGAGGUUGUGGAAAAGAGGGGACCCUAGUACACUGUUAGUGGGAUUGUAAAUUAGUACAACCACUAUGAAGAACAGUUUGGAGGUUCCUCAAAAAACUAAAAAUCCAGGUACCUUACAGUCCAGUAACCCCCUGCUGGGUAUAUACCCAAAAGAAAGGAAAUUACUAUAUUGAAGAGAUAUCUGCAUUCCCAUGCUUAUUGCAGCACUGUGCAUAAAUAGCCAAGAUUUGGAAGCAAUCUAAGCAUUCAUCAACAGACAAGGGGAUAAAGAAAAUGUGGUACAUAUACACAACGGAGGGCUAUUCAGCCAUAAGAAAGAAUGAGAUCCUGUCAUUUGUAACAACAUGGGUGGAUGUGUUAAUUGAAAUAAGCCAGACAGAGAAAGACAAACUUCACAUGUUCUCAUUUGUUUGUGGGAACUAAAAAUUAAAACAGUUGAACUUAUGAAGAUAGAGAAUAGAAUGAUGGUUAUCAGAGGCUAGGAAUGGUAGUGGGAGUGGGGGAGGGGAAGUGGGGAUGGUUAACGGGUACAAAAAAUAGAAUGAAUAAGAUCUAGUACUAAUAGCACAACAGGGUGAUUAUAGUCAAUAAUAAGUGUACAUUUUAAAAUAAAGGGCAUAAUUGGAAUGUUUAUAACACAAAGGAUUAAUGCUUGAGGGGAUGGAUACCCCAAUUACCCCGAUGUGAUUAUUAAACAGUGUAUGCCUGUAUCAAAAUAUCUCAUAUAACCCAUAUAUACACCUAUUAUGUAUCCCCCAAAAAUAAAAACUAAAAAAAGGAUAUACAUCUCAUUCAUGACCUGUAAUAAUAGUCAAGCAAAAGACAGA
This 2823-nucleotide long non-coding RNA is filed under the name Homo sapiens (human). Its description in RNAcentral is "HSALNT0330340". The record is from RNAcentral. Lineage: Eukaryota; Metazoa; Chordata; Mammalia; Primates; Hominidae.